UAACCUGCCUUGGAUGGGAAUACAGUUGAACAGCUGCUAUACGCAUAAUAUGUCUGUGUCGCAUGGCACUGGGCAUCAAAGAUUUAUCGCUCUGAGAUGGACUCGCGUCUGAUUAGCUAGUUGGCGGGGUAACGGCCCACCAAGGCGACGAUCAGUAGCCGGACUGAGAGGUUGGCCGGCCACAUUGGGACUGAGACACGGCCCAGACUCCUACGGAAGGCAGCAG
Molecule: ribosomal RNA, 226 nt
Filed under: uncultured bacterium
Lineage: Bacteria
Description: partial 16S ribosomal RNA
Rfam family: Bacterial small subunit ribosomal RNA
Source: RNAcentral